Pelobates cultripes (western spadefoot toad) is the source of this 984-nucleotide non-coding RNA. NCBI's taxonomy places the organism in Eukaryota, Metazoa, Chordata, Amphibia, Anura, Pelobatidae. The record is from the annotation of a GenBank genome assembly.
UGAUAAUGUAUGGAAACACCAGAGUACUUUGGAAACGUUACAUAGACGAUGUUCUGGUCAUCUGGAAAGGUACCAAGGAGCUUUUUUUCCGAAUUUGUGGAUCAUCUUAAUUGUAAUUAUCCGAAUUUGAAAUUCACACAGGAAAUAGGGGACGCUAUUCUAAAUUUCCUGGAUUGUACUCUCUCUAUUAAUGCCGCUAAAACUAUUGAGACCACACUGUUUCGAAAACCCACCGGCACUGACAACAUGCUGCGGCGGGAUAGUUACCAUCCCUUGUGUCAGCUCUCUUACACUUACCUUGGAGGUCCACUGAUCUGCCCACGCCGGGAUUCGGCGGACCGCCACCAGGUCCAGACUGGCCCACCGGGAUACUGGGAAAUUUCCUGGUGGGACGGGGCACUUGGGGCCGCACAGUGUAGAAUUACCCCCCCUCCCAACCAGUAAACACACUCAUGUCUGGGGCUUGAUAAGCUGAGGAGUGAAGGUCCCCUCUCAGCUCUAGAUUGGCACUGUACUUUAUCCACUUACGAGCAGCAAGCACUCCAAAUUGAACUUUCAAUGCUGCUUGCGACUGAGACAUAAGGAGCAGGGGAGGGAGGUAGUCCUGGUGCCUGUCUGACAGCCUUCACACACGGGAAGUAUGUGGCCCGGUAAUCAGGCACAGCAGGGCAGCCCACGCGGGUCUUUUGAGUUUUGCUUCCUGUGUGCAAACUGCUGUCAGGCUGGGAGAGGAGUUAGCAGGGGACCAGACAAAGCUGCAGGCAGGCUGCUGGGAAUGAGCUUCCCUGUAUUUUAUCUUUCAUUGGCUUGCUAUCAGAUCAGGACCUUUAACCCACAAUGUACAAUUUACCUCUGUGCUUCGGUUUCCCCCUUCUGCUGGAUGGACGUUUUCAGCCAGUAGCUGAGCACAGAUCAAGGAGCAAUGUGGGCUCAGUGAGCAGUGACACCCAGGUAUUUUAUGUUCAUGUUUACUGAUUCUUAGGG